This 576-nucleotide ribosomal RNA is filed under the name uncultured bacterium. RNAcentral describes it as "bacterial SSU rRNA". It matches the Rfam family "Bacterial small subunit ribosomal RNA", at positions 102 to 674 of the family's 1533-position model. The record is from RNAcentral.
ACGGGUGAGUAAUACAUCGGAACGUAUCCUGGAGUGGGGGAUAGCCCGGCGAAAGCCGGAUUAAUACCGCAUACGCUCUGAGGAGGAAAGCGGGGGACCUUCGGGCCUCGCGCUCAAGGGGCGGCCGAUGGCGGAUUAGGUAGUUGGUGGGGUAAAGGCCUACCAAGCCGACGAUCCGUAGCUGGUCUGAGAGGACGACCAGCCACACUGGGACUGAGACACGGCCCAGACUCCUACGGGAGGCAGCAGUGGGGAAUUUUGGACAAUGGGGGCAACCCUGAUCCAGCAAUGCCGCGUGUGUGAAGAAGGCCUUCGGGUUGUAAAGCACUUUUGUCCGGAAAGAAAUCAUCGGGGCCAAUACCCCUGGUGGAUGACGGUACCGGAAGAAUAAGCACCGGCUAACUACGUGCCAGCAGCCGCGGUAAUACGUAGGGUGCGAGCGUUAAUCGGAAUUACUGGGCGUAAAGCGUGCGCAGGCGGUGCUGUAAGACCGAUGUGAAAUCCCCGGGCUUAACCUGGGAACUGCAUUGGUGACUGCAGCGCUGGAGUAUGGCAGAGGGGGGUGGAGUUCCACGU